This is a long non-coding RNA of Chinchilla lanigera (long-tailed chinchilla), 283 nucleotides long. RefSeq lists it as uncharacterized. The record is from RefSeq and is a predicted model, not a curated record. The transcript has 2 exons. Lineage: Eukaryota; Metazoa; Chordata; Mammalia; Rodentia; Chinchillidae.
AGCUUCUUGCACGACUCUCACUGGGUGACUGUGAGCUCCUGGCCAACUCUGGCCCCUGCGCUUGGGGCCAGGCUUUCCUGACAGAGGGGCGCCCUGAAAGGAGGCCCCGCUCUUGAAAGUAUUGACUACUUCAAUCUGCAAUGGAGGAGAGAACGAGACAAGUUGCGAGAACAGACACAACAGCUACAUGACUGACAGGCACCACGUCACGAGAACAGCCGCAGCCACGGCAACAAUGACAGUGUCACUUAAAUUAAAACAAAAAAUACCAGAUAUACUCCAA